AUGGCUCAGGAUGAACGCUAGCGACAGGCUUAACACAUGCAAGUCGAGGGCAGCAUAAAAGUAGCAAUACUUGGUGGCGACCGGCGCACGGGUGAGUAACGCGUAUGCAACCUACCUAUCAGAGGGGAAUAACCCGGCGAAAGUCGGACUAAUACCGCAUAAAACAGGGGCACCGCAUGGUGAUAUUUGUUAAAGAAAUUCGCUGAUAGAUGGGCAUGCGUUCCAUUAGGUAGUUGGUGAGGUAACGGCUCACCAAGCCGACGAUGGAUAGGGGAACUGAGAGGUUGGUCCCCCACACUGGUACUGAGACACGGACCAGACUCCUACGGGAGGCAGCAGUGAGGAAUAUUGGUCAAUGGGCGGGAGCCUGAACCAGCCAAGUCGCCGUGAAGGAAGAAGGAUCUAUGGUUCGUAAACUUCUUUUGCAGGGGAAUAAAGUGCAGGACGUGUCCUGUUUUGUAUGUACCCUGAGAAUAAGGAUCGGCUAACUCCGUGCCAGCCGCCGC
RNAcentral lists this ribosomal RNA (506 nucleotides) under uncultured bacterium. Its description in RNAcentral is "bacterial SSU rRNA". It matches the Rfam family "Bacterial small subunit ribosomal RNA", at positions 19 to 518 of the family's 1533-position model. The record is from RNAcentral.